AGGGUCGGCCUAGGGUAAAACUGGUGAUUGGGGCUAAGUCGUAACAAGGUAGCCGUACCGGAAGGUGCGGCUGGAACACCUCCUUUCUGGAA
Molecule: ribosomal RNA, 92 nt
Filed under: Alloprevotella sp. Lung230
Lineage: Bacteria; Pseudomonadati; Bacteroidota; Bacteroidia; Bacteroidales; Prevotellaceae
Description: partial 16S ribosomal RNA
Rfam family: Bacterial small subunit ribosomal RNA
Source: RNAcentral